This 345-nucleotide unclassified non-coding RNA is filed under the name soil metagenome. RNAcentral's name for it is "partial contains 5.8S ribosomal RNA, internal transcribed spacer 2, and large subunit ribosomal RNA". The stretch from base 1 to 120 matches the Rfam family "5.8S ribosomal RNA", at positions 35 to 154 of the family's 154-position model. The record is from RNAcentral.
GAUGAAGAACGUAGCGAAACGCGAUAGUUAAUGUGAAUUGCAGAAUUCAGUGAAUCAUCGAGUCUUUGAACGCACAUUGCGCCCCCUGGUAUUCCGGGGGGCAUGCCUGUCCGAGCGUCAUUGCUGCCCUCAAGCACGGCUUGUGUGUUGGGCCUCCGUCCUCCUCCCGGGGGACGGGCCCGAAAGGCAGCGGCGGCACCGCGUCCGGUCCUCGAGCGUAUGGGGCUUCGUCACCCGCUCUUGUAGGCCCGGCCGGCGCUUGCCGACACAUCAAUCUUUUUUCCAGGUUGACCUCGGAUCAGGUAGGGAUACCCGCUGAACUUAAGCAUAUCAAUAAGCGGAGGA